Long non-coding RNA from Limulus polyphemus (Atlantic horseshoe crab), 300 nucleotides. RefSeq lists it as uncharacterized. NCBI's taxonomy places the organism in Eukaryota, Metazoa, Arthropoda, Merostomata, Xiphosura, Limulidae. The record is from RefSeq and is a predicted model, not a curated record. The transcript has 2 exons.
GGUGGUGGAUUUGGAGGAGGUUUAGGCGGAGGAGGAGGAGGAUUCAAAAGGUUCAGAAAAGGUGGUGGAGGAUAUCGACGUGGAGGUAGAGGUGGCUAUUGUGGAUCUUGUGGUCAUGGCUGAUAACAGUGAAUCGUCAGAGAAGCUAAACUCGGAUAUCUCUAUAGGAUCAACGUGUGUUUUUCUGUUUAAAUAUCAAAUAUGUUUUGCACCCUUAGAAUUUACUUAAUGAUUUGUUGUUAUUUUAAUUUUACAAAUAACUGAAGAAGUUUCAAUAAAUAUAUGAGAAGUUUAUCAAAA